RNAcentral lists this ribosomal RNA (1424 nucleotides) under metagenome. Its description in RNAcentral is "bacterial SSU rRNA". It matches the Rfam family "Archaeal small subunit ribosomal RNA". The record is from RNAcentral.
UCCCGUUGAUCCUGCGGGAGAUUGCUGCUAUUGGGAAUCGAUUAAGCCAUGCAAGUUCGCUCUCUUCGGGGAGCAGCAGACUGCUUAGUAACACGUCAAUAAUCUAACCUUAGAUUUAGUAUAACCUUGGGAAACUGAGGCUAACACUGGAUAGGGAAAAUAGACUGGAAUGUCUUUUUCCUCAAAGGCAACGUCUAAGGAUGAGUUGGCGGCGGAUUAGGUUGUUGGUGAAGUAACGGCUCACCAAGCCGAAGAUCCGUAGGGGCCCUGAGAGGGGUAUCCCCAAGAAGGACACUGAGACACUGGUCCUAGCCCUACGGGGUGCAGCAGGCGCGAAACCUUUACACUGCACGAAAGUGUGAUAAGGGAAUCCCAAGUGCUGAUGUUUUACAUUGGCUUUUGCUAAGAGUAAAGACCUUAGCGAAUAAGUGGUGGGCAAGACUGGUGCCAGCCGCCGCGGUAACCCCAGCGCCACAAGUGGCAAUCAUCAUUAUUUGGCCUAAAGUGUCCGUAGCCGGUUUGAUAAAUCUUUUGUGAAAUCGUUGGGCUUAACUCAACGACGUGCAGAAGACACUGUCAGACUUGGGACUAGGAGGAGUUGGAAGUAUUUCUGGGGGAGCGGUAAAAUGUUAUAAUCCCGGAAGGACUACCUGUGUGAAGACGUCCAACUAGAAUAGUUCCGACGGUGAGGGACGAAAGCUAGGGGAGCGAUCCGGAUUAGAUACCCGAGUAGUCCUAGCUGUAAACUCUGCGAGCUAGGUGUUACACAUUCCUCGUGGAUGUGUAGUGUCGAAGCGAAGGUGUUAAGCUCGCCGCCUGGGAAGUAUGGUCGCAAGGCUGAAACUUAAAGGAAUUGGCGGGGGAGCACUACAAGGGGUGCGGCGUGCGGUUUAAUCUAAUUCAACACAGAGAAUCUCACCAGAAGCGACGGCAGGAUGAAAGUCAGGUUGAAGGCCUUACUUAACAAGCCGAGAGGUAGUGCAUGGCCGUCGUCAGCUCGUGCCGUAAGGUGUCCUGUUAAGUCAGGCAACGAGCGAGACCUGUACCUACAAUUGCUAGCGAAUUUUGAUCGAGCACAUUGUGGGGACUGCUCCGGAAACGGAGAGGAAGGUGCAGGCUACGGUAGGUCUGUAUGCUCCGAAUCUUCUGGGCUACACGCGCGCAACAAUGGUAAGGACAAUGGGCUACAACUCCGAAAGGAGAAGUUAAUCCUCUAAACCUUAUCUUAGUUCAGAUCGAGGUCUGAAACUCGACCUCGUGACGCUGGAAUCCCUAGUAAUCAGACGUCAUCAGCGUCCGGUGAAUAUGUCCCUGCUCCUUGCACACACCGCCCGUCAAACCACCCGAGCAGUGUUUAGAUGAGACCUAAUUUUCAAUUAAUUCGAAUCUAAGCUCAGCGAGGAGGGUUAAUUCGUCACAAGGUA